Echinops telfairi (small Madagascar hedgehog) is the source of this 1350-nucleotide long non-coding RNA. RefSeq lists it as uncharacterized. NCBI's taxonomy places the organism in Eukaryota, Metazoa, Chordata, Mammalia, Afrosoricida, Tenrecidae. The transcript has 2 exons. The record is from RefSeq and is a predicted model, not a curated record.
CUAGACUUAGACUGUUGGACGGAGACUUUUAUUUUUACAUAGUGUUAGGCCCAGGCCUGCUGGGCCCUCUUUCUCCCACCCCCCACCCCCACUAGUUUCUCGGAUACACCAGAAACUCCCAACCCCAUCCCUGGAGUCACCGGAGAGCUAUCUUGGGGUGCUGACGCAGCCGCUUUCUCUGAAGAGACGGGACAUCUGUGCAAAGCGAAGGAGAAAGACUGAGAGCCCAUGCAACUUUCCAAAGGACGCCGCCUGGGAAGGUUUGCUCGUAAGGAGGAAGAGAGGGCAAAGAUGCCUUUCAAUCGCGGACAAUCACAGCCCGGAAUGACAGCCACCUACCUCGCCAAAGUGAAAGUGUGUUUUGUGGACAAUCCCUAAUCUUAGCUAGGUAAUUGCAAGCAGUCACGGAAAAAGAAAAGGAUAUUGUAUCGUCAAACUUGAUUUUCCCCUUACUUCCGUAUCAUUCAUUCCCCCCACCCACCAAAAAAACGGUUGAGAAGGACGUUUCCUGCAUCCAGUGAUGAAGGUGUCAACGCAGAAGGUGCCCUCAGGCAGCCUUUUCAAGGGCGGAGGGCUACCGCGAUCAUAAGUGCCUUCAAGGGAGUAUUAAAGCAAUGGAACUGUGUUUCCCAAUUUGGGUUUGUUUGUUUUUAAUAGUCUCUGAACUUGAAGACUGAUCACCCCUACCGAAAAGAAUCCAAACUGUGACAGUAUUCCCCUACAGUUCUCCUUACAGGAUUUUUAAAAUAUAUAUUAUGAAAAAUAUUGUUUCUGAGACACAAACAAAAGAAGGAGCUAGAAGCCAAUCUUUGUGAGCAUCAAGCUGCCUACCAGAUUUUUUGAGCUGGGCAUAACAUGCCCUGUUGAAGCAAGAGGGAAAGUAUGUUUCCGGAAAAGCCUGCUUGGUGGCAGGGGGUGGGUGAGUGAGGCAGCAUUAAGGCAAUCCCACCGGCAGAAGUUGGGGUGGGUGUGCAGGCCCUGUAAUGCCCAGCGAUCAUUCUGGGCAUGCUGAUUAGGGGAGGUGGACCAUUUCUCCUGGCCAGAUUCAUGGAGGCUAAAGCCGAAAAUCAGAGUGGCCCCUUGCUUUUCAGGGAGUGCUUGUGUAUGGAAGAAGACCAAGGAUCGAGAUCAGAAUUACUCCAAGGAUCUGCUUCAUAGCAUGAGCAUGCCCUCUCCACGCUCGGUUUCGUUUGCUUGCUCUGAGUACAUGGGGGCUCUUUGCUUUCGCUUCUCCCGCUAUGUCCAGCCGCAGUCGGAACUUGAGUCGGCCUCCUUCAGAUUCUCUUACUUUCCUUGUGUUCUUUAGCGACACUAUCUGAAAAUUAAAGUGGCGUUUGGUCCCCCACCAAA